Molecule: ribosomal RNA, 253 nt
Filed under: uncultured bacterium
Lineage: Bacteria
Description: partial 16S ribosomal RNA
Rfam family: Bacterial small subunit ribosomal RNA
Source: RNAcentral
UACGUAGGGUGCAAGCGUUAAUCGGAAUUACUGGGCGUAAAGCGUGCGCAGGCGGCUAUGCAAGACAGAUGUGAAAUCCCCGGGCUCAACCUGGGGACUGCAUUUGUGACUGCAUAGCUAGAGUUUGGUAGAGGGGAAUGGAAUUCCGCGUGUAGCAGCGAAAUGCGUAGAUAUGCGGAGGAACACCGAUGGCGAAGGCAAUUCCCUGGACCUGAACUGACGCUCAUGCACGAAAGCGUGCGGAGCAAACAGG